Molecule: long non-coding RNA, 1265 nt
Filed under: Ricinus communis (castor bean)
Lineage: Eukaryota; Viridiplantae; Streptophyta; Magnoliopsida; Malpighiales; Euphorbiaceae
Description: long non-coding RNA (RCOM_LNC002554)
Source: RNAcentral
CUAGACAAGAAGUGAAGUUCUAAUUUCAGGCUUGGUAAUCUCUAACAACAUUGAAUUGAUCUAGUCAUCAAUGAUUAAUCCUUGGUAGAAAUCAUUUCAUAAGGAACAUUGGAAUUCAGUAAUUCAACAACAGCAAACAACAAGUAACAACAAACAGAAAAUACCCAAAUUAUACGAUUUAUUCUCCUCUUCAAAUAAAUAAACAACAUAUAUUGUAAUCCAAACUAAGCAGAAGAAAAGGAGGAAAUGCCUGAAAAGCAACCAUUACCAUCAGUCAUAGAAAUAAUACUAGGAAUUCAAAUAUUCUAAUUUCACAACAGAAUCUUACAUUACCCAAUAAGUCAAUAGAAAAAUACAAAGUACCUAGCUUAGUUUACAAAAUAGUUAUGCAGCCAAAUACAAUAUGUACAACCAACCAAAAUCAAGACUCGGGAAUCAAGACCCGUCUGAGUUAUACCCAGUGGGAGUUGCUGGUGUUGCUGGGCUUGAAACGUUGGAAUCUCCAUUUUCUUGGUGCUUUUUAUCAUUAUUUGUUGCAAUAACAGCUAUAACGCUUUUGAAAAUCUUGAUCAUGAUCUGCCCUCUUUUUGGAGGAAGAGAAACAGUCUGUUCGUGCUUUCUGAUUGACCUAGAUGAUGUGAAUUCCAUUUCUUUGGAUUGGGCAGACAGGACUUUUCAAUUUUGAGGACAAAAACGAGUAAUCAAAAGAAACAGAGUUCAAGAAACAGAGCAAACAAAGAAAGAAAGAUUGGUGCAAACAAAGAAAGAAGGAGAAGAAGUAAGAAAGGUUGAUUCUUGAAGGAGGAAAUGGAGAUUUUGUAAGAGAAAGUGAAAUUGAUCGUUUUUUUUUUUUUUUUCCUGAGUGAAGAGGAGUGAUUGCUGAAGUGAAGCGAUUCAAGUGUUUAUAUAGAGGAAUUGCCAAGUGGGCAAAAGUGUAGAGACACCAAUUCAAUUGCUUGCUUGCCAAGAUUAACCGAGUCACUCGACUCUACAAUCUUAUAAUAAUAAUAAUAAUAAUAAUAAUAAUAAUAAAGAUGAUGAUAGAAAGAGUGAGGUGGUCCUAUUUAUGUGCACAAGACAAGAGCACUGAAAAUUAGAUGGUCAUGGUCCUAUCCUAACAGAACAAUAUGAAUCCAGCAGCAAUCAUAAAAUAUAGAAUCUGAGUCAGUAGGGUAUUGAGCAGGGAUAGCACCCAAGUAGUACAAAUUACUCCAUAUUAUUUUUACAAUUCUUCUCUCUCAAAUCUAAUUUCUUUUUCCUUUAGU